Molecule: ribosomal RNA, 253 nt
Filed under: uncultured bacterium
Lineage: Bacteria
Description: partial 16S ribosomal RNA
Rfam family: Bacterial small subunit ribosomal RNA
Source: RNAcentral
UACGUAGGGGGCAAGCGUUGUCCGGAAUUAUUGGGCGUAAAGGGCUCGUAGGCGGUCUGUCGCGUCGGGAGUGAAAACUCAGGGCUUAACCCUGAGCCUGCUUCCGAUACGGGCAGACUAGAGGUAUGCAGGGGAGAACGGAAUUCCUGGUGUAGCGGUGGAAUGCGCAGAUAUCAGGAGGAACACCGGUGGCGAAGGCGGUUCUCUGGGCAUUACCUGACGCUGAGGAGCGAAAGCGUGGGGAGCAAACAGG